UAUUUUAACCGAGCGUUUAUGGUGCCUCCUCCCCGUUUUGUGCAUUCUUGUGGGAAGCGCUAAAACCGAACCAAAUCAUGAUAAUUAAAGUUAUUAAUUUUCAUAACAUGCCUUUUUUCAUCCCCUGUAAGACUGUGGUUUGGCUUUUAAUAUUAAACGUUUUGUGGAUUGACGCUGGAGGUGUGCGGUUGUUGCUGUAAAGUGUUUAAUGGAAAGCUGUACAAAUUCUCAAGCAAUUGAAAGUAAUGCACUCCUUCCUUUUUUUUAUAUGUAAAUAGCUUGAACAUCAGUCUGGAAGCAUUUUGCGAACUGACUUUUUUUGGGGGGGAAAUAAUAAGUUUCCAUUACAGCUUUUAUUUUAAAUGUAUGUCAAAGCUCUACUGAAUUCAGUGCUUCCAUUGCAUUUAAACAUGAAAAUCAAGGCCUAUCUGAAUCCAGGAGGAAAAGUGUAAUCUACUACCAUGUACUAAACUUUGUGAUGAGAUGCUAUAGGAAGGAAAUCACCAUUUUAUGAAAUAACCCUUUGUGAACCCAACUCAUUCUGAUUAAGUGAUACAAUGUUUUACUGUUACAACCCAACAGUAAUGCCUGCUACACCACAUGUUUGUACUUUCCCCAUAACGUGUAUGUUUCCUAUAUAUUUUCAGUGUCAGUGCAUAAGUCUUUGUGAUAUACUUGGGGAAUUACAUGUGUAUUGUGGGUUGUUGCUGUUGAAAGCAAGCCUCAGUUGUGAUAUGUCAAUUCCUUGUUAAAUCCACGUCAAAGUGAUUGUACCAGGAUGUCAGGGAUUAUGGAUUAUUCUCUGUUAACGUUAUCUAUGUUUUGAUAUGAAUUUGUGGUGUGGUAAAGAACAUGGAAGUGAAUAAGCAAGCAAUGGCACCGUGUAAACCUAUGUUUAUGGUCUGGUUUGCUUUUGACACAAAGGAGUCAUUGCAGGUAAACAGCAGCCUGAAUUAAUUCAUUAGAUUUACACAUAAAGUACCACCUAUGACACUGUGGCAUGUGCUGGUAACAGCAUGCGCAGGGGAUCUUUCAGCAUCACGUUAAUGCUCUUAUUUUCAGCUGACGAAAGGGAUGAGAAAACUUCCUUUUUACCUUUUGCUGAAUUUUAGUCUUCAGAUUUGUUUUCUGUUAUUUUUCAAACUUAAAUUGAGAAUACUUCUUUGUAGAGUUACAGAUUUUAAAGGAGAGAGGUUAAGAAAGUACUGAUAUUUGAGAUCAGGUAUUUUCAGAGUUUUGCUUGAAACAAAUUAACCUUUUUCUUUUGUCAGAACAAUAGCAUGAUUUGUUGAAUUUUGAUGCUUAAAAUAUAUCUCUGUGGUCUGUAUGAUUUUAUAGAUCAAGGUCUCUUUCAAUAUGAGAAGCUGUAGCAAGAUAAGCCCCAGAUUACUCAUGUGCCGUAGUUUUUGUGUCUAGUGGGAUAAAAUCUUGAAAGCUAGGCUAAAUUAAUAUAAAUGUUAAGUCUACCUUUGAAUUCAUCAUUUGGAACGUACUACUUCUCAAGUUUCAAUUUUUGUACUUCUCUGACUGUUCAGGCAGGACAAAGUUGGUCCUUGGUGUAAUCCAUUCAUGAGUGGAAGCAAGUUGGUGAGAAUUUAGCUGAGAUUUUUCUACAGGUUUAACGUGUAAGCCCGUAAAGGAAGGGGUUAUACUUUAAAGAUUGAUAACUGGACUGUGAAAUAUCCUUUCCUCUCUGAACACGUGAUGCCAAGUCCAUGAAUACAGUGAAUCCAUUCCCAUCUUUGUUUCACAUAUUUCUGGAAUCUUUUUUUUUUUUAAUAUAAUUAUUCAUUUACUUUGUUGAGACAUCUGCUAAGCACCUUUUGAAGAACAAGCUUCGU
Cygnus olor (mute swan) is the source of this 1841-nucleotide long non-coding RNA. RefSeq lists it as uncharacterized. The record is from RefSeq and is a predicted model, not a curated record. NCBI's taxonomy places the organism in Eukaryota, Metazoa, Chordata, Aves, Anseriformes, Anatidae. The transcript has 2 exons.